RNAcentral lists this ribosomal RNA (250 nucleotides) under uncultured bacterium. Its description in RNAcentral is "partial 16S ribosomal RNA". It matches the Rfam family "Bacterial small subunit ribosomal RNA", at positions 355 to 597 of the family's 1533-position model. The record is from RNAcentral.
UGGGGAAUUUUGGACAAUGGGCGAAAGCCUGAUCCAGCCAUGCCGCGUGAGUGAAGAAGGCCUUCGGGUUGUAAAGCUCUUUCAGUCGGAAAGAAAAGGCGCCGGAUAAUACCUGGCGCUGAUGACGGUACCGACAGAAGAAGCACCGGCUAACUACGUGCCAGCAGCCGCGGUAAUACGUAGGGUGCGAGCGUUAAUCGGAAUUACUGGGCGUAAAGCGUGCGCAGGCGGUUGUGCAAGACAGGUGUGA